This 89-nucleotide ribosomal RNA is filed under the name Perkinsus olseni. RNAcentral describes it as "large subunit ribosomal RNA". Lineage: Eukaryota; Perkinsozoa; Perkinsida; Perkinsidae. The record is from RNAcentral.
AUAAAGGGAUAUAAUUACUAUUUAAUAUGGUAUAUGAUUAUAUUAUAGUAACAUAAGGUAUACAUAGAUAUUAUUAUAAAUUAGUAUUC